GACGAACGCUGGCGGCGUGCCUAAUACAUGCAAGUAGAACGCACAGUUUAUACCGUAGCUUGCUACACCAUAGACUGUGAGUUGCGAACGGGUGAGUAACGCGUAGGUAACCUGCCUGGUAGCGGGGGAUAACUAUUGGAAACGAUAGCUAAUACCGCAUAAUAUUAAUUAUUGCAUGAUAAUUAAUUGAAAGGUGCAAUUGCACCACUACCAGAUGGACCUGCGUUGUAUUAGCUAGUAGGUGAGGUAACGGCUCACCUAGGCGACGAUACAUAGCCGACCUGAGAGGGUGAUCGGCCACACUGGGACUGGGACACGGCCCAGACUCCUACGGGAGGCAGCAGUAGGGAAUCUUCGGCAAUGGACGAAAGUCUGACCGAGCAACGCCGCGUGAGUGAAGAAGGGUUUCGGAUCGGAAAGAUCUGUUGUAAGAGAAGAACGGGUGUGAGAGUGGAAAGUUCACACUGUGACGGUAUCUUACCAGAAAGGGACGGCUAACUACGUG
RNAcentral lists this ribosomal RNA (505 nucleotides) under uncultured bacterium. RNAcentral describes it as "partial 16S ribosomal RNA". It matches the Rfam family "Bacterial small subunit ribosomal RNA", at positions 28 to 507 of the family's 1533-position model. The record is from RNAcentral.